CCUGGCGGCAAUAGCGCGAUGGAACCACCUGUACCCAUGCCGAACACAGAAGUGAAACGUUGUAGCGCCGAUGGUAGUGUGGCAUUCGCCAUGUGAGAGUAGGACACUGCCAGGC
Ribosomal RNA from Tolumonas auensis DSM 9187, 115 nucleotides. The record is from Rfam. Lineage: Bacteria; Pseudomonadati; Pseudomonadota; Gammaproteobacteria; Aeromonadales; Aeromonadaceae.